GACGAACGCUGGCGGCGUGCUUAACACAUGCAAGUCGAGCGGUAAGGCCCUUUCGGGGGUACACGAGCGGCGAACGGGUGAGUAACACGUGGGUGACCUGCCCUCAGCUCUGGGAUAAGCCUGGGAAACCGGGUCUAAUACUGGAUAUGACUCCAUGACGCAUGUUGUGGGGUGGAAAGCCUUGUGCGGCUGAGGAUGGGCCCGCGGCCUAUCAGCUUGUUGGUGGGGNGAUGGCCUACCAAGGCGACGACGGGUAGCCGGCCUGAGAGGGCGACCGGCCACACUGGGACUGAGACACGGCCCAGACUCCUACGGGAGGCAGCAGUGGGGAAUUGUUCGCAAUGGGCGCAAGCCUGACGACGCAACGCCGCGUGGAGGAUGAAGGUCUUCGGAUUGUAAACUCCUGUUGCCCGGGACGAAAGCUCCGACCUAACACGUCGGAGUCUGACGGUACCGGGUGAGGAG
This 465-nucleotide ribosomal RNA is filed under the name uncultured bacterium. Its description in RNAcentral is "bacterial SSU rRNA". It matches the Rfam family "Bacterial small subunit ribosomal RNA", at positions 28 to 489 of the family's 1533-position model. The record is from RNAcentral.